CUACGGGCCGCAGCAGUGAGGAAUCUUGCGCAAUGGGGGAAACCCUGACGCAGCGACGCCGCGUGGGUGAUGAAGGCCUUCGGGUCGUAAAGCCCUGUCGAGAGGGAAGAAUUGCAUUUAGGUUAAUAGCCUAAUUGUUUGACGGUACCUCCAAAGGAAGCACCGGCUAACUCCGUGCCAGCAGCCGCGGUAAUACGGAGGGUGCAAGCGUUGUUCGGAAUCACUGGGCGUAAAGGGCGUGUAGGCGGCUGAGUAAGUCAGGUGUGAAAUCCCUCGGCUCAACCGAGGAAGUGCAUUUGAUACUGCUCAUCUUGAGUACUGGAGAGGGAGAUGGAAUUCCCGGUGUAGAGGUGAAAUUCGUAGAUAUCGGGAGGAACACCAGUGGCGAAGGCGAUCUCCUGGACAGAUACUGACGCUAAGGCGCGAAAGCGUGGGGAGCAAACAGGAUUAGAUACCCCAGUAGUC
Molecule: ribosomal RNA, 465 nt
Filed under: uncultured bacterium
Lineage: Bacteria
Description: partial 16S ribosomal RNA
Rfam family: Bacterial small subunit ribosomal RNA
Source: RNAcentral